This 265-nucleotide signal recognition particle RNA is filed under the name Oscillospiraceae bacterium. RNAcentral describes it as "signal recognition particle sRNA large type". It matches the Rfam family "Bacterial large signal recognition particle RNA". From Rfam's summary of the family: The signal recognition particle (SRP) is a universally conserved ribonucleoprotein involved in the co-translational targeting of proteins to membranes. Lineage: Bacteria; Bacillati; Bacillota; Clostridia; Eubacteriales; Oscillospiraceae. The record is from RNAcentral.
CCGCACUAGUCGGGGAGUUAGCGGUGCCCUCUACCUGCAACCCGCUACAGCAGGGAUGAAUCCCGGCCCCCGGACUCUUUCCGUGCCGUCCGCCCUCCGUAAGCAGCGAUGAUGGAUCGGUCCCGCGCAACGGCGUGCCGCGAACCGUGUCAGGUGGGGAACCAAGCAGCACUAAACGGAUUUCUCCGUGUGCCGCGGGGCUGCCGUUCCUGAGCCGGCUGCGCAGGUAACGGGCAUGGAUUGAGCUUCAAAGGCCGGUGUGCGG